CCCCACUAUGCCCAGCCGUAAACUUUUAAUUACUCCCAAAUCGCCUGGGAACUACGAGCAAAGCUUAAAACCCAAAGGACUUGACGGUACCCCAUAUCCCCCUAGAGGAGCCUGUCCUAUAAUCGAUAAUCCCCGUUUAACCUCACCAUUUUUAGCUUAUCAGUCUGUAUACCUCCGUCCCCAGCUUACCUCGUGAGCGAAAUCUAGUAAGCCUAAUGCCCACACGCCAAUACGUCAGGUCAAGGUGCAGCAAAUGAAAUGGGAAGAGAUGGGCUACAUUUUCUAAUAUAGAAAAUACGAAAGACUACCUAUGAAAUCUAGUCAGAAGGCGGAUUUAGAAGUAAAAAGAAAAUAGAGUGUCCUUUUUAACCUGGCACUGGGGUGUGUACACACCGCCCG
RNAcentral lists this ribosomal RNA (399 nucleotides) under Odontophrynus carvalhoi. RNAcentral's name for it is "partial 12S ribosomal RNA". It matches the Rfam family "Bacterial small subunit ribosomal RNA", at positions 785 to 1396 of the family's 1533-position model. The record is from RNAcentral. Lineage: Eukaryota; Metazoa; Chordata; Amphibia; Anura; Alsodidae.